RNAcentral lists this ribosomal RNA (463 nucleotides) under uncultured bacterium. RNAcentral's name for it is "partial 16S ribosomal RNA". It matches the Rfam family "Bacterial small subunit ribosomal RNA", at positions 28 to 507 of the family's 1533-position model. The record is from RNAcentral.
GAUGAACGCUGACAGAAUGCUUAACACAUGCAAGUCUUUGGCGAAGCUGUGCUUGCACAGCCUAGCCAAGGCGGUCGGGUGAGUAACGCGUAAGGAACUUGCCCUGCAGUCAGGGAUAACAGACGGAAACGACUGAUAAGACCUGGUAAAGUCAGGCGGACUCAUGUCCAGCCUGAUGAAAAGAGAUGCUGCAGGAGAGCCUUGCGUCCUAUUAGCUUGUUGGUGGGGUAACGGCCCACCAAGGCGAUGAUAGGUAGCCGGCCUGAGAGGGUGGACGGCCACAAGGGGACUGAGAUACGGCCCUUACUCCUACGGGAGGCAGCAGUGGGGAAUAUUGGACAAUGGGGGCAACCCUGAUCCAGCAAUUCUGUGUGCACGAUGAAGGUUUUCGGAUUGUAAAGUGCUUUCAGCAGGGAAGAAAAAAAUGACGGUACCUGCAGAAGAAGCGACGGCUAAAUACGUG